Molecule: long non-coding RNA, 2317 nt
Organism: Symphalangus syndactylus (siamang)
Lineage: Eukaryota; Metazoa; Chordata; Mammalia; Primates; Hylobatidae
Source: RefSeq, a predicted model, not a curated record
UUAAACCACCACCACACUCCUUCCCCCGCCACUUCCUUCCCCCACCCCCUUCCUCCGUUGCACCAGCAGCAGAGUCGCACGCAGCAAAUACUCCUUCAAGAAUUUUACCUACCUACAGCUCAAGCAAUUACUGGGAUGUCCUGACUAAUCGAAGAUGCUGCCGCGCGCGUGGGUCGCUCAGCGCAAGGGCCUCUUCGAAAACCCGACUAGGCGCAACUCAGUGUUCAGCAGGGCCGGGCGCGCCAGGUCGCCCCCGGGGCCCGGGCCCCAGGACUCCUGCCCCAAAGCCCACUCCACCCGACCUCCCUUUCCUGAGGCUAUUCCUAGUUGCUGCUUUGGGUCGCUCCGGAGCUCAAGGGCUCGGGUUGCCUGCCGCCCCACUCUCCACGCACAAACUUGGUUUUCUUCUUAGGGGCACUUGCAGGUAGACUUUGAGGAAGAAAAGUAAAGGAUCGAGCAGCUCAGGCCUCCCUCCCGACCGUUGAUGCCCGGAGUCGACCAACACCUCAGGUCCGGGUGCGGAGGCCGCGGGCGCCCCUGCGCGACCGUCCGCUCCCGGCAAGAGACGCGCGGCUUUCGCCUUUGCUGGUCCCGCGCCACCGCUGGGGCGGGCUGCGAAAGGGUUGGGGAGAGCAAAGGGUUUUUUUGUUUUGUUUUGAGACGCAGAAGCCCUUUAAAAAGCCCGGCGAGGAGAGGUCCAGAAGUAGAGAAAGCAGAGGGAGGCAAGCUGUGCCCGCGGGGCAAAGGGACAGUGGAAGGGGCGGGCGCCCGGGUUCCCCGGAAAACCCUCGGCCCCAAGGAAUCUCCUGGGGCGGGAGAGCGCGGUUCUAAAACCGAGAGGAUAGGAAGGGGAAGGGGGAGUUGUGUUUCAAUUUCGGAUUCACCAGGAUUCAUCUCUAAUCACAUUUUUCUUCUAAAAUUUUUAAAUCGAAAAGAUAAAAGCCAAAAGAACUUUUAUCCCCAGAAUUUUUUAUUGGGGGAAAGGAAUGCAACUCGGGGUGGUUGUCCUUCACUUCCCUACCCAAAUCUUCUCCUAAUGCCGAAAUGUGUUUACAGGUAGCCUCAGUUUACCAAGUAUGUAUCUUUUAGGGGUUUAACCUCUCACAAAGCCUUCAACUCACAAACCGCGAUCCUUGAAAACCAUCCUCCAAAGCAGUGCUUAGGAGGCGUCUAAGGCCCCCGGACCAACUCCCGCUGGAAGAAGCCUGCAGGGACCCGUGAAUCACUGGAGCCUUUCCCGUCGGUUCCGGGCCUGGAGGGCCAGGAAGAGCCGCGCGUCCGCCUUUCGUCCCGCCAGUAACUCCCCAUAGGACACGACACCGCAGGAACAAGCGUCCUGGGAGCCCCUGGGAUCCUGGCUGUGGUCUCUACGGACCCUACACCGUGAAAUGAUAGAGGGGAGGCUCCUUGGGUUCCGCAAGUCGACGAAAAUAGCUCGUGGAGAAGGCGCGUCCUGCAACUGCAGUUCGCAAGCUCUCAGGGCGCCCCGCCAGCUAGGGGCCAGACUGGGUGACACUCCCCUCGACGCAGCCUCCGGAGCGGCGCGCACUCCCAGAGGCCAGUAGGACUGCGCUCUCUACCGCAGAACCAGCUCCAGCUAGGUGUUCUCUCCCCAUCUCGCCGUCGCUCUGCCCCCUCACUCUCUCCGGACCUCAGAGCCGGCUCUCUACUUCCUCCUCCCGCCCUUUCCGUCCGGGGAUCGCAACCUCCAGCCCGUGGGCAACGCGUUCAGCCCAAGACCCCACAGUUUUUCCCAGCGACCCCCUACCAAGGGCUUCUCUUGUUUCUGCUCUCCUGCCCCCGCACUUCCCAAAGUGUGUGGGAACAGUGUGACCUGAACAAGAACGUAGUGUCACUAUAGGAUGAGUGACACUUGGAAGCAGAGGCAGAGUGCUACAUGGACACCUGACUGUACCAAAUGGUUAUUGUGGUUUCCCAAUCAGAUGCCAAUUGUGGAAUACCAGCUGAUAUUCUACCCUCAAUUCAUGCUAAAAGCUUUCUAGGCUUUCUCAAGGAAACCUGUCCAAAGGGAUAUGUGAUCCAAGGAAUUAUUAUUGUAUAAGUAAAACUUGGAUGUUUUUACUAAUAGUUCACAUAUUUCACAGCCCUUUGGUGGAGAGCCUUUUUCAUUAAUGUUCUGUUCAAGAAUAAUUGCAUAGUAUUUAUAAUCCUCUCAGGGAUUAAGUAUAGAUGUGAUAUACAACUCAAAGAUGCUUGUUGAUGUUCACUUUGUAAAAAUUCAUCAAGUUGUAUAAUUGAUAUUUGUGCACUUUCUUUUUGUGUUAUAUAUUUUUGAAUUAAAUGCUUAUAGAAACUA